RNAcentral lists this unclassified non-coding RNA (206 nucleotides) under uncultured fungus. RNAcentral describes it as "sequence contains ITS1". Lineage: Eukaryota; Fungi. The record is from RNAcentral.
UUAAAUAAUUUAUAUUUAGACUCAGACUGCAAUUUUCAUACAGAGUUCAAGGUGUCUUCGGCGGGCGCGGGCCCGGGGGCAGAGGCCCCCCGGCGGCCGUGAGGCGGGCCUGCCGAAGCAACAAGGUACAAUAAAACACGGGUGGGAGGUUGGACCCAGAGGGCCCUCACUCAGUAAUGAUCCUUCCGCAGGUUCACCUACGGAAA